Molecule: long non-coding RNA, 504 nt
Filed under: Phoenix dactylifera (date palm)
Lineage: Eukaryota; Viridiplantae; Streptophyta; Magnoliopsida; Arecales; Arecaceae
Description: long non-coding RNA (PDAC_LNC022234)
Source: RNAcentral
CACACGACUAGGGUUUCCAGUGGGUACUGCGGUCCCACCGAUUUACAUGCCACCUCACCUAACAGUUAUUGGUGACACAUAGAUGGAUGAGUGUACAACUCUUGUACAAUGCUUCUCAAGUAUGUUGCAGUGUAACUUGGUCUCUAAGCCAUGAAGACCUCACCUAAUAGUUAUUGGUCCCAUUUCUUAGUUAAGUCAGACCCACCGUAUAACCGUAGGAAUAAAGUCGUCAUUGGGUCCUCACCUAACAGUUAUUGGUGCCCAACCCCACCUUUACCCUACAACAUCUCAUGUCUAUAGAGAGGUCCAGCCCCCCGAUGCAACUUGACCACUAUGUCCAGCAGAGACAAAUCAACAUCAGAAAGGCCUUAGCAGCUCUACUACAGUGGAAGACCUAUUGACUUAAUAUUGGUUAAUCAGGUCUUAGUGUUUGCAACUUGAGCCCUUCAUAAGAGGUAAUCGAACAAUUGGCCAGGUAAGCAGGUGGGAGGCUCCCCUUACUCA